GGAGGGUUGGCUGAGUGGUCGAAAGCGCCUCACUGCUAACGAGGUAGGGUUUAAAAGCUCUCAUGGGUUCGAAUCCCAUACCCUCCG
RNAcentral lists this transfer RNA (87 nucleotides) under Candidatus Zambryskibacteria bacterium RIFCSPHIGHO2_01_FULL_43_60. RNAcentral describes it as "tRNA-Ser". It matches the Rfam family "tRNA". From Rfam's summary of the family: Transfer RNA (tRNA) molecules are approximately 80 nucleotides in length. Their secondary structure includes four short double-helical elements and three loops (D, anti-codon, and T loops). Lineage: Bacteria; Candidatus Zambryskiibacteriota. RNAcentral also lists the same sequence under 2 other names. The record is from RNAcentral.